UGGGGAAUAUUGCACAAUGGGCGCAAGCCUGAUGCAGCCAUGCCGCGUGUGUGAAGAAGGCCUUCGGGUUGUAAAGCACUUUCAGCGGGGAGGAAGGCGGUGAGGUUAAUAACCUCAUCGAUUGACGUUACCCGCAGAAGAAGCACCGGCUAACUCCGUGCCAGCAGCCGCGGUAAUACGGAGGGUGCAAGCGUUAAUCGGAAUUACUGGGCGUAAAGCGCACGCAGGCGGUCUGUCAAGUCGGAUGUGAAAUCCCCGGGCUCAACCUGGGAACUGCAUUCGA
RNAcentral lists this ribosomal RNA (283 nucleotides) under uncultured Klebsiella sp. Its description in RNAcentral is "partial 16S ribosomal RNA". It matches the Rfam family "Bacterial small subunit ribosomal RNA", at positions 355 to 630 of the family's 1533-position model. Lineage: Bacteria; Pseudomonadati; Pseudomonadota; Gammaproteobacteria; Enterobacterales; Enterobacteriaceae. The record is from RNAcentral.